Molecule: long non-coding RNA, 1046 nt
Organism: Neolamprologus brichardi
Lineage: Eukaryota; Metazoa; Chordata; Actinopteri; Cichliformes; Cichlidae
Source: RefSeq, a predicted model, not a curated record
AAUGCCAGUCACGGGUCCAAACUUUGUGUGUCCCAACCUCCCACAUGAUGAAAUGAUCCUUUUAAAGCGGGCUCAAUAUGUCUCAAUCUGCACUCCUCUUCCUUCUCUAAAGCUUCUGGGUUCGGGACACAGCCCAGAAAUAUAUUAAUUAAAGCGCACUACUACGGACUUUUUUUUAGCACUGAGGAAGAAGUGGUUGGAUCAAGUCAAGCUCUGUCAACGACGGAUGGAUGAAGAUUCAUGGCAGAAAAAGCAAAAGAAGAAAAAAGCGAUCAAUGCCGCAGCACUUUCCAGUUCAUCUUGAACUAGCGGUGAACUCCAGAAUGCCGCCAGCGUCUCCACCCUAUCCCAUCGCAGUUCAGGGUCACCAGGGGGGUGUCUCUGUGCCGAUAUGCAAAUAAGCCCGUGGCCCUUCAGUGACUCUGGCGUUAAGCUCCACCCCUUCUAUAUGGUAGAAGCUUUGAAAUAAAAUCCUCUCCCCCAGACAACCUUCGCACACACACAGAUAUAAACCCACUCUCAUGUAGACUUAAACAGGCCUUUAAAACUUCCAUCCAUUCCUCCUUUAAUAGCCAAAGCGUGUUGAACCUAAUGGAUGUUGUCAUAGCUGAGAUGUGACCACUGAUUUAGAGGAGGAACCCUAGUGACCAGGCGAAGAGAGGCAGAGACAGAGACAGAGGGAGAAGAAGAAGACAAGCGAGAGUUAUGUCAGCUACACCACAAAUCAAAGUAAUAUCUUUUAAAAAUUGUGGAAAUCGAUGGUGUCAUCUAGCUGUAUCUUGUGGGUAAAGGAAACCCAUAAACAGCCAAUUAGCUGAUAAGCAGACUGUUUUUUUUUCCUUUAUGAAGAAUCGAUUUUACGUGUUGGCAAAACAGCGUACAAUGGACAAAGAGCUCACCCUUUUUAACUGUAACUUGUAUCCUGUAUUUAAACUAAAGUACACUGUGUAACUGUUUCGUACUUGUGAAACAAUUAAGUUGCAUGUACAGAUUUUAACAAGUUUACAGUAAUGACAUUAGCCUAAUAAAGUUUGUUUUAAACGCAA